CACGGCGACGUGGAAUCUGAAGGAAGCCGGAAGCAAAGGCCCGGCCCGAGGAACACGAACCACAUAUGAAGACUGACUUGGAGUGGACGAGUUUCCACAACAAAACGAAGUCCAACACUGCCCGAACCCCAUACAGUAGAUGCGGCAGGUAUAUGGGAUGAAGGCUG
This 167-nucleotide non-coding RNA is filed under the name marine sediment metagenome. The record is from RNAcentral. RNAcentral also lists the same sequence under 1 other name.